This 459-nucleotide ribosomal RNA is filed under the name uncultured bacterium. Its description in RNAcentral is "partial 16S ribosomal RNA". It matches the Rfam family "Bacterial small subunit ribosomal RNA", at positions 338 to 795 of the family's 1533-position model. The record is from RNAcentral.
CCUACGGGGGGCAGCAGUGAGGAAUAUUGGUCAAUGGACGAGAGUCUGAACCAGCCAAGUAGCGUGAAGGAUGACUGCCCUAUGGGUUGUAAACUUCUUUUAUAUGGGAAUAAAAUGUUCCACGUGUGGGAUUUUGUAUGUACCAUAUGAAUAAGGAUCGGCUAACUCCGGGCCAGCAGCCGCGGUAAUACCGAGGAUCCGAGCGUUAUCCGGAUUUAUUGGGUUAAACGGGAGCGUAGGUGGAUUGUUAAGUCAGCGGUAAAAUUGAGAGGCUCAACCUCAUCGAGCCGUUGAAACUGGUUUUCGUGAGUGAGCGAGAAGUAUGCGGAAUGCGUGGUGUAGCGGUGAAAUGCAUAGAUAUCACGCAGAACUCCGAUUGCGAAGGCAGCAUACCGGCGCUCAACUAACGCUCAUGCACGAAAGUGUGGGUAUCGAACAGGAUUAGAUACCCCAGUAGUC